This 236-nucleotide long non-coding RNA is filed under the name Nicotiana benthamiana. RNAcentral's name for it is "long non-coding RNA (NBEN_LNC025171)". The record is from RNAcentral. Lineage: Eukaryota; Viridiplantae; Streptophyta; Magnoliopsida; Solanales; Solanaceae.
UCAAAACGUAGAACAGUUACGCAAUAAAGUUCCGAUAAUUUGGGAUCACUAACAUGUAUUUUGAAUAACUAUUCUAGCUACAUUAUAUUCAUUUCUUUUUCGGUGUAUUCUUGCAAGUUCUUUUGUUAUGCCCUUCACCUCCACAAUUGCCACAUGACACCUUGUAUUUCUUUGAGUUUAUUUCAUCAAAUGUUUUAUAUCUUUCCUUGUGAGGUCUUCCUGGCUGCCUUUUAUCU